AUGAACGCUAGCGGCAGGCCUAAUACAUGCAAGUCGAGGGGUAAGAGUCAGCUUGCUGACUACACGACCGGCGCACGGGUGCGUAACGCGUAUGCAACCUACCUUUAACAGAGGAAUAGCCCCGAGAAAUCGGGAUUAAUACCACAUAACAUUAUGAUAUGGCAUCAUAUUAUAAUUAAAACUCCGGUGGUUAAAGAUGGGCAUGCGUGACAUUAGCUAGUUGGUGAGGUAACUGCUCACCAAGGCUACGAUGUCUAGGGGUUCUGAGAGGAUGAUCCCCCACACUGGUACUGAGACACGGACCAGACUCCUACGGGAGGCAGCAGUAAGGAAUAUUGCGCAAUGGAGGCAACUCUGACGCAGCCAUGCCGCGUGCAGGAUUGAAGGCCUUAUGGGUCGUAAACUGCUUUUAUUUAGGAAUAAACUUUCGUACGUGUACGAAACUGAAGGUACUAAACGAAUAAGCACCGGCUAACUCCGUGCCAGCAGCCGCGGUAAUACGGAGGGUGCAAGCGUUAUCCGGAUUUAUUGGGUUUAAAGGGUGCGCAGGCGGACCAAUUAGUCAGUGGUGAAAAUCCCGAGGCUCAACCUCGGAACUGCCAUUGAUACUGUUGGUCUUGAAAUACGGUUGAAGUAGGCGGGAAUGUAGCAUGUAGCGGUGAAAUGCAUAGAGAUGCUACAGAAACCCCGAUCGGCGAAGGGCAGCUUUCUAAACCGAUAAUUGACGCUCAGGCACGAAAGCGUGGGGGAGCGAACAGGAUUAGAUACCCUGGUAGUCCCACGCCGUAAACUAUGAUCACUCGUUGUUCGCAAUACACAGUCAGUGACCAAGCGAAAGCGAUAAGUGAUCCCCCUGGGGAGUACGAUCGCAAGGUUGAAACUCAAAGGAAUUGACGGGGGCCCGCACAAGCGGUGGAGCAUGUGGUUUAAUUCGAUGAUACGCGAGGAACCUUACCUGGGCUCAAAUGUAAGUCGACAGUUUCUGAAAGGGAAUUUUCUUCGGACAAUUUACAAGGUGCUGCAUGGUUGUCGUCAGCUCGUGCCGUGAGGUGUCGGGUUAAGUCCCAUAACGAGCGCAACCCCUACUCUUAGUUGCCAUCAGAUAAUGCUGGGGACUCUAGGAGAACUGCCUACGCAAGUAGAGAGGAAGGUGGGGAUGACGUCAAAUCAGCACGGCCCUUACGUCCAGGGCUACACACGUGCUACAAUGGCCGGUACAGAGGGCAGCCACCUGGUGACAGGGAGCGAAUCUCUAAAGCCGGUCUCAGUUCGGAUCGAAGUCUGCAACCCGACUUCGUGAAGCUGGAAUCGCUAGUAAUCGCGCAUCAGCCAUGGCGCGGUGA
This 1343-nucleotide ribosomal RNA is filed under the name uncultured Bacteroidota bacterium. Its description in RNAcentral is "bacterial SSU rRNA". It matches the Rfam family "Bacterial small subunit ribosomal RNA", at positions 29 to 1365 of the family's 1533-position model. Lineage: Bacteria; Pseudomonadati; Bacteroidota. The record is from RNAcentral.